Transfer RNA from Ipomoea nil (Japanese morning glory), 72 nucleotides. It matches the Rfam family "tRNA". From Rfam's summary of the family: Transfer RNA (tRNA) molecules are approximately 80 nucleotides in length. Their secondary structure includes four short double-helical elements and three loops (D, anti-codon, and T loops). Further hydrogen bonds mediate the characteristic L-shaped molecular structure. tRNAs have two regions of fundamental functional importance: the anti-codon, which is responsible for specific mRNA codon recognition, and the 3' end, to which the tRNAs corresponding amino acid is attached (by aminoacyl-tRNA synthetases). tRNAs cope with the degeneracy of the genetic code in two manners: having more than one tRNA (with a specific anti-codon) for a particular amino acid; and 'wobble' base-pairing, i.e. permitting non-standard base-pairing at the 3rd anti-codon position. The record is from Rfam. Lineage: Eukaryota; Viridiplantae; Streptophyta; Magnoliopsida; Solanales; Convolvulaceae.
GUUGUUGUAGUAUAGUGGUGAGUAUCCCCGCUUGUCACGCGGGAGACCUGGCUUCAAUCCCCGGCAACGGCG